This 659-nucleotide long non-coding RNA is filed under the name Chloebia gouldiae (Gouldian finch). Its description in RNAcentral is "Erythrura gouldiae (Gouldian finch) lncRNA (ENSEGOG00005000333.1)". The record is from RNAcentral. Lineage: Eukaryota; Metazoa; Chordata; Aves; Passeriformes; Passeridae.
CGCCGCCGCCGCUGGUUUUGGUGCCGUUUGCCCCGGGGCGGCGGCAGCUCGGCUGUGGGGUCGGUGCUGCUGCGAGCCGCCGCGUCCCUCCCUUCCUGCCGGAGCUAAACGGGAAACGUGGGCGUUUUUUGCAUCUGUGAUCCGAAGGGCUUCGCCAAGCUCAUCUUCAUGUGGGCUCUGAAGAGAGGAGGCUGUGGAAGGGAGGGAGGGAGGACGGACAUAGCAGAGCCUGGAAAAACCGCGAAGUGGGAGUUUCGGCUUGGGAACGGAGCCCCGGACGGAAUGUGAGGAGGGGCGGUGUUAGCUGGAGCGUGUCCAUCUGAGAAGGCAGCUGUUCGUGCGUGUUAAAGUGUGAAACCCGGGGAGGAAGAAGCACAAAUCCAAAACAUAGCUCCUCACUGAGCCCCUGUGAAGAAAAUUUACUCUGGCCCAACCAAAACCAGCAAGACUGCCAGUCCUGAGUGUCCUUGAGGAGCCCAUGAUAUGUGGACAAAUGGAUUUCAGCUUUCAGAAGUGUGCCUCAAUGGGAGUUGACAAGGAUACCAUGAAAAUUGGAGGAUGUCUGGCUGGAGUGGAGCAAAUGCAAAUAGAUGGUUCAGUAAGUAUUUUUGGUUCAUUGUGGCAGUGAGACAUUUGCACUGUUUAUGAAAUUUCUAGUA